Molecule: ribosomal RNA, 372 nt
Filed under: Nannengaella alpestris
Lineage: Eukaryota; Evosea; Eumycetozoa; Physariida; Physaraceae
Description: SSU rRNA
Rfam family: Eukaryotic small subunit ribosomal RNA
Source: RNAcentral
UCUCUCUGAAUCUGCGAACGGCUCCGCAAACCAGUUGUAAACUAUUGCUAGCACGCUCAUCGUCUUCGGAUGGUGGGCUAUAAGGAUAACCCUGGUAAUUCUGAGGCUAAUACUCGACCGUAAAACUCGCUGGUCUGGGUAACUGGUAAGGCGAGGGACGUGUAAUUGAUCGCAGGAGAUGCCGGGAAAGGAUGCACGUUCUGACCACCAUACAAACAGUAUCCUGGAAGCUCGCAAGGGCAGAAGGGUGUCUGGGUGGCUCUAGCAUUGUGCUUCUGACCUAUCAACUAGAUGGCAGUGUAAGGGACAUGCCAUGGUUACAACGGGUACAGAGGAUAAGGGUUCGAUCCUGGAGAGUGGGCCUGAGAGAUU